CCCUACGGGGCGCAGCAGUGGGGAAUAUUGGGCAAUGGGCGCAAGCCUGACCCAGCAACGCCGCGUGAAGGAAGAAGGCUUUCGGGUUGUAAACUUCUUUUGUCAGGGACGAAACAAGUGACGGUACCUGACGAAUAAGCCACGGCUAACUACGUGCCAGCAGCCGCGGUAAUACGUAGGUGGCAAGCGUUAUCCGGAUUUAUUGGGUGUAAAGGGCGUGUAGGCGGGAAUGCAAGUCAGAUGUGAAAACUAUGGGCUCAACCCAUAGCCUGCAUUUGAGACUGUAUUUCUUG
Molecule: ribosomal RNA, 293 nt
Filed under: uncultured bacterium
Lineage: Bacteria
Description: partial 16S ribosomal RNA
Rfam family: Bacterial small subunit ribosomal RNA
Source: RNAcentral